Pelobates cultripes (western spadefoot toad) is the source of this 260-nucleotide non-coding RNA. The record is from the annotation of a GenBank genome assembly. NCBI's taxonomy places the organism in Eukaryota, Metazoa, Chordata, Amphibia, Anura, Pelobatidae.
GUCUGUAUCUGCAUGUGUGGCACUAUUUACAUCUGUGUGUAUCUGAAUCUGUGUCUAUCUGCACGUGGGAAAUGUUUGUAUCUGUGUGUAAGUGCUUGUAUCCGUCUAUUUUCUCCAUUCCACACAGAUGAUAUCUGCAAUAGUGAGUAUAUUCAUUCUAGCACGAACACUUUAAUUGUUUAGUUUUAACACUGUUUGUAAUUGCUUUCAUCACUUUAUUUUUGUAUACUCACUUUGCUCUUACAAGGAUUUAAUUUAAA